UUUUUUGUAGAGUUUGAUCCUAGCUCAGGAUGAACGCUGGCGGCGUGGAUAAGGCAUGCAAGUCGAAUGCCACACCUCCUAGCUUUGGUGCAUAAUGUAGUAAUGCAUUAUGUAUAUGUGUUGAAGAGUAAAAAGAAUGGGCGAACGUAUACUGGGUAUACCACUGAUUUGAAACAGCGCUUUGCUGAUCAUAAUAGUGGUAAGUCUCCGUAUACUAAAAACAAUCGUCCUUACGCACUGGUUUAUUAUGAAGCGUAUGUUUCAAAAUCAGAGGCACAAAAGCGUGAACGUAGUUUGAAAUUACGAUCUAACGCAUAUCUUCAACUGAGAAGACGUAUCACGUCUUCCAUUCACGAAAGUUAAGAGGUGUGGCAUGGCGAACGAGGUAGUAACACGUAGGUACGCACCCCAAAGUCGGGCAUAACCCGGAGAAAUCCGGAAUAAUUCUCGAUGGUCUCGUAAGAGUAAAGAUUUAUCGCUUUGGGAGCGGCCUGCGUCGUAUCAGCUUGUUGGUAAGGUAAUGGCUUACCAAGGCUAUGACGCGUAGGGGAGGUGAGAGCCUGACCCCCACCGAUGGAACUGAGACACGG
This 590-nucleotide ribosomal RNA is filed under the name Candidatus Zambryskibacteria bacterium CG10_big_fil_rev_8_21_14_0_10_42_12. RNAcentral describes it as "bacterial SSU rRNA". It matches the Rfam family "Bacterial small subunit ribosomal RNA", at positions 1 to 329 of the family's 1533-position model. Lineage: Bacteria; Candidatus Zambryskiibacteriota. The record is from RNAcentral.